GAUGAACGCUGGCGGUGUGCCUAAUACAUGCAAGUCGAGCGACCGGACGAGAAGCUUGCUUCUCUGCUGUUAGCGGCGGACGGAUGAGUAACACAUGGAUAACCUACUUAUAAUUCUUGGAUAACUUCGGAAAAACGUUGAUGAUAAUGGAUCAUAUUUUGUACCGGUUGAUUCAAAAGUGCUUGACACUCUUGCUGAUUGUAAUAGAUGAAUCCGCGCUGGAUUAGCUAGUUGGUAAGGUAACGGCCCACCAAGGCGACGAUGCGUAGCUGGUCUGAGAGGAUGAUCAGCCACACUGGAACUGAGACACGGUCCAGACUCCUACGGGAGGCAGCAGUGGGGAAUAUUGGACAAUGGGCGCAGGCCUGAUCCAGCCAUACCGCGUGGGUGAAGAAGGCCUUCGGGUUGUAAAGCCCUUUUGUUGGGAAAGAAAAGCAGCGGGUUAAUACCCCGCUGUUCUGACGGUACCCAAAGAAUAAGCACCGGCUAACUUCGUG
This 497-nucleotide ribosomal RNA is filed under the name uncultured bacterium. RNAcentral describes it as "partial 16S ribosomal RNA". It matches the Rfam family "Bacterial small subunit ribosomal RNA", at positions 28 to 507 of the family's 1533-position model. The record is from RNAcentral.